GGACUACCCGGGUUUCUAAUCCUGUUUGCUACCCACGCUUUCGUGCCUCAGCGUCAGUGAUGGUCCAGUAAGCCGUCUACACCACAGGUGUUCCUCCUGAUAUCUACGCAUUUCACCGCUACACCAGGAAUUCCGCUUACCUCUCCCAUACUCAAGCCCUCCAGUUUUCGGCGCACCCUCCCGGUUAAGCCGGGAGAUUUCACACCAAACUUGGAGAACCGCCUACGCACUCUUUACGCCCAGUAAUUCCGAACAACGCUUGCUGCCUACGUAUUACCGCGGCGGCUGGCAC
RNAcentral lists this ribosomal RNA (292 nucleotides) under uncultured Acidobacteriota bacterium. RNAcentral describes it as "uncultured Acidobacteria bacterium partial 16S ribosomal RNA". Lineage: Bacteria; Pseudomonadati; Acidobacteriota. The record is from RNAcentral.